UUUCUCAACUUGUCUGUAGUUUGAACUGGGUCUUAAGGGAUGAAUUGGAGAGUGCUAGAAAAGAAGUUGAAGAUAACAUUCCACGAAGAGAUAACAGGUCCUUAAAGGGUUAGUAGAGUAAAUAAAAGUACACAAAAGUUCUGGUAACACCGAGUGUGAGAUGUAUGGCCAUGAAGAAAGUGAGACCAACAGAGAAUGGUGGGAGUUAUUCCUGAAGGCCGCUGAAAAGCACUGUUUUACCUGUUUAAAUAGGUUCCUAUAAAUCAUUGAUAAAAAUUGAUCCCUGAGUAACCUGCAUUAGGAUCACUUGUGUUGACUAGUAAAAAAUGAAUUUUGGGUCCCCCUCAGACUUAAUCAGACUUUCUGAGGAUGGCGCCAGGCCAUCUGAAUUUUGUCUCCUAGGUGAUUGUUAGGCCAUUAAAAGCUGAAAGUGACCGCCAUAGACAGUGUAAUGCUGACAGAGGUCUUUAGGCCAAGAGUUGACAUGAGUAAUUUUAAUACUUUUCAGGAAAACAACUUGAAUUUAAUUGUAAAGAACAGACCAAAGGGAACCUGGUUGGCAGGGAAAUGAAAUAGAACCAAUUAUAAUGGUACAUCAGUUGUAAUAAGUUUGUUUCUCUAAGGUAGGGUCUCAACCUCAGGACUAUUCACAUUUGGGGCCAAAUAAUAUAUAGCUGUGGGUUGCUGUGCUGUCCUUUGCAGGGUAUUUAGCUACAACCCUGGCCUCGUAACCCAUUAAAUGCCAAUAGGCCUCCCAGUUGUGAAAACCAGAAAUGUUUCCUCGUAUUGCCAGAUGUGCCAUGCUGGGCAAAAUCACAAGAGGUGAGACUCAAUGCUUUAGGAUGCCCAGAACUGAAGACGCUGAGUUGUAGGGCAUGACAGUGCUCAACUGCACUAGUAAACCAAAGUGGUUUUCUGAAAAGGUUGUACCUAUUUGUACCCUGGUCAGCUGUGGUUAGGAAUUUCCAAUAUUUGAUGCUUUCAAUGACAUUUCUUGUUUGAAUUGUUAUUUUAUUUGCCUCAUUGCUAGUGUUAUUGAGCAUUUUUUUCCAAAUAUUUGACUAUUCCUUUUCUGGGAAGUGUGUUUCAAUUUUUUGUGGUACUGGGGAUUGAACCCAGCACUUCACACAUGCUAGGCAAUUGCUCUACCACUGAGUUAUAUCCCCAGCUCUGUGUGUGUGUGUACAUACAUGUAUAUGUGUAUACAUAUGUAUUUUAAAUAUUUUUUAGUUGUCAAAAACGGAUCUUUAUUUUAUUUAUUUAUUUGUGGUGCUGAGAAUCAAACACAAUGCCUCACAAAUGCUAGGCAAACCCUCCACCACUAAGCCACAGCUGCAGCCCAUUCUUUUUAUAUUUUAAAUGCCAGUUCCUUCUCAGUUUUACCUUGGUCUCCCACCCCAGUCUCUCUCUCUUUUAGUUGUUGAUGGACUUUUAUUUAUUUAUAUGUGGUGCUGGGAAUCGAACCCAGUGGCAAGCUUUUUGCCACUGAGCUACAACCCCAGCCCCUCAGAUUUCUUAAUGGAUUAAAUCUUUCUUUAUUUACCUACAUUAUCUUCUAAAGGUUUAUGUUUUUCCUUUCAUCUUUAGGUUUACCAAAAAUUGAUUUUUGUGUUCAUUAUGAGAUAGCCAUCCAAAUUCAAUUUUUCUCCAUGUGAAAAUUAGCUAUCCCAGCAAUAUUUAUUGAAAAGACUGUCCUUUCCCUACCAAUUUUCAUUCCUAUCUCUGUCAUAUAUCAAAACUAUCCAUCCAUUCCUUAGUGUGUUUCUGGGCACUUAAUUCUGUUUCAUUGCUUUAUUUGUAUAUCCUUGGGCCAGUGCCACAUUGUCUUAAUGUAGUUUUUAACUACAUUUUGUUAUCUGAUAAGGCAGCUUCUACCUUUUCAUUAUUCAAGAAUGGACUUUUACUCUUUCAUAUAUAUUUUAGAUUUGCUUUUCAAGUUUAACAAAAAUUUUGUUGGUCUUUUU
RNAcentral lists this long non-coding RNA (1964 nucleotides) under Marmota monax (woodchuck). Lineage: Eukaryota; Metazoa; Chordata; Mammalia; Rodentia; Sciuridae. The record is from RNAcentral.